RNAcentral lists this ribosomal RNA (279 nucleotides) under uncultured bacterium. RNAcentral's name for it is "partial 16S ribosomal RNA". It matches the Rfam family "Bacterial small subunit ribosomal RNA", at positions 506 to 784 of the family's 1533-position model. The record is from RNAcentral.
UGCCAGCCGCCGCGGUAAUACGGAGGGAGCAAACGUUGUUCGGAUUUACUGGGUGUAAAGGGUGCGUAGGCGGCCAUGUCCGUCGGGGGUGAAAUCCUGCAGCUCAACUGCAGCACUGCCUCCGAAACUGCAUGGCUUGAGUCCGUGAGGGGAAGGUGGAAUUCCAGGUGUAACGGUGAAAUGCGCAGAUAUCUGGAAGAACACCCGUGGCGAAGGCGACCUUCUGGCACGGUACUGACGCUGAGGCACGAAAGCUAGGGUAUCGAACGGGAUUAGAUA